GAUGAACGCUGGCGGCGUGCCUAAUACAUGCAAGUCGAGCGAACGGACGAGAAGCUUGCUUCUCUGAUGUUAGCGGCGGACGGGUGAGUAACACGUGGAUAACCUACCUAUAAGACUGGGAUAACUUCGGGAAACCGGAGCUAAUACCGGAUAAUAUUUUGAACCGCAUGGUUCAAAAGUGAAAGACGGUCUUGCUGUCACUUAUAGAUGGAUCCGCGCUGCAUUAGCUAGUUGGUAAUGUAACGGCUUACCAAGGCAACGAUGCAUAGCCGACCUGAGAGGGUGAUCGGCCACACUGGAACUGAGACACGGUCCAGACCCCUACGGGAGGCAGCAGUAGGGAAUCUUCCGCAAUGGGCGAAAGCCUGACGGAGCAACGCCGCGUGAGUGAUGAAGGUCUUCGGAUCGUAAAACUCUGUUAUUAGGGAAGAACAUAUGUGUAAGUAACUGUGCACAUCUUGACGGUACCUAAUCAGAAAGCCACGGCUAACUACGUG
RNAcentral lists this ribosomal RNA (497 nucleotides) under uncultured bacterium. Its description in RNAcentral is "partial 16S ribosomal RNA". It matches the Rfam family "Bacterial small subunit ribosomal RNA", at positions 28 to 507 of the family's 1533-position model. The record is from RNAcentral.